Molecule: long non-coding RNA, 4336 nt
Organism: Xiphophorus couchianus (Monterrey platyfish)
Lineage: Eukaryota; Metazoa; Chordata; Actinopteri; Cyprinodontiformes; Poeciliidae
Exons: 6
Source: RefSeq, a predicted model, not a curated record
GAGGAUGUAGAUGUGACUGUAUAUCACGUUAAAGUGUACACCGUCGAUAUAGCGAGUAAUAAUAGAGAGGGGCUGUCUUUUUAAAAGAGCAUCGCCUGUUUCCUCUGGGGCUUGAAUUCUGCCCUGAGGUGUGACCUUGUGAACUUGGCUCUGAAUAUCCCCAGUUCUGUCUCUCCGGACUCCCCUCCGCAUCCCUGGGCUCUAUUGUACAGGCUUUACCCAGGAAGGAAGUGACAUCAACGGGUCCAAACUAAAAAUAUGUCGCAGGACGAGCUGGUUUGGAUGUCCAGGACCGAUGUUUGUUUAAAAAGGAGGAUGCCUCCCACAAGGUGAUGCUCCCCUGAAGGAUGCAGCAGAGUGCCACGCUGGGGAGGCAGACAGACAGACGAGCGGGGCUGAGUUCUCUGUCAUCCACAGUUUAAUGAAAGGAAUGGUACGAGGUGUCAACGUGUUUCAGAGACUCUUGAAUGCCUACUCAUCUAAAAUCUGGAUGUAUUUUUGGCUAUAUGGAAAGACAAUGCAGCCUGGGGAGCUGAAAAGGUUGGUGCAAUGGCACUUGAAACACAAUUUGCUGGCAUUUACAAAGCAGUCAGUCAAGAAGCGCCAUUCCUUUUCCCUGGCGCUGAUUGGCUACACCCCAAGAGUGAAGCUGCCCGCUCAGUGAAGCCGUCAAGCCAUUAGUGAGUCCCAGCGAUGAUAAUGAAACCUCGGAGGUGGUCUGAGCCACUGUGGUAGUGGAGCUGGAGCACAAGAGAAAGGUUAAGGACAUGGAGCCAGUACAGCUCCUCCCUGUGAUCUCCUGCUGCCUCCUCCCAAGCCACCCACAUGCAGAGAGAGGGUGAGAGAUCAGUCCCACACAAAUACAACAUAAUAACACCACCAUUUGAUGUGAAAAUCUGCUUUUGAUUUAAUUAUAGCCCGCAAAUGCAUAUCUGUCUACAAUGAAAAGAUUUGAGAAUUUUUGGCCAGAGCUACAGUUUCCUUUCUAUGGUGCUGGUAGGUGUCACAUGAUCUUAAAUCUCUUAUCGAGAAUGUUUCCCUUUCCAUGUGUGCAUUCAAAUAUUUCCUGAUUUCGGUUAAUAACAAAAUAAUGACAUCAAAAACAAACGUUUUCAUGCCACGCAUUUUAAUCACAUUAUGAUAUGUGAGCAUCUUCCUCAUAUUUUAACAAAUCAAGUUAAGUAAAGCAAAUGGUCUGUUUACGCCAAUCAGUCAUAAGAUUAUAACUAAUGCCAGGUGCCGUGAGUAAUAUGUUGUUAUAACAGAAUGUUCAGCUGAGAAAACCAUCAGCAUUGGUGUUAUUUUGACAUUUACCACAGACGUAAACAGUUUAGAAGAAUAUUCCACCCCCCUAACCCCAUUUCCUCCCCUGUGGGCGCUUUAAAAGCUGCUUACAAAAAUGGCUUAAAGAACAUGACAGCAGAUCUUAGGGGUUUAGUCAGCCUCUAAAAUCCCCAGAUUCUGACCUGAUGGGAUCUAAUUGCAUCUGUAAUAAGAAACUCUGUCCAAAAAGCUCCCCAUUACACAUCAAAGAGGGGUCAAAGAAAUAUUAAAAUCUAUUGUUUAGGAACUAAACAUUUAGGACACCCUCAGAUAUUUUAUAACAGAGCAGAUGCAGAGCCUCCUGAAAGUUUUAAAUGUACUUUUUCACACUUCAUCAGGUUGGAAACAUAAACUUGAACUUGUUUGAUUAGGAUUGCACUAAGCCAAAAACAAAGUAGGAAUCAAUUGUGAUGUUGAAAGAAAAAAACAGAGAAUUUUCAAAAUGUUUUACAAAUAAAAAUCUGAUGAUUGAUCUCUCUUUGUUCUAUUUCCUCUUAGUCAAGACAAGUGCAACCAGCUGUCUUCAGAAAACUAGUAAGUUCAACAUCACCUGUGCAUCAUUUAAUCUCAGUUUGUCAGAAACUGAGGCAGACUUUAGAAGCAACACAGUGCCCUGAUUAGGGGGAGUUCCAAAUAUAAUAUAAUUUUAUUAUAAUGCAUGCUUUGCACACAUUGUGCUUAAACAAAAGCAAACAAAAUUCCUAUCUCCUAGGCCCAAAUCAGGUGAGAUGUAUUUUCAAGUGUUUGAAAAUUAAGAACUUAUAGUCAUUUUUUGGAUGCAACAUGCAGUUAUUGGCUCGGGUCAUAUUAAACCUACCAUGCAUCAGUUCAAACCUGCUCAUCUAUAGAGCUACCUGUUAAUGUACUCUAAGUGUUAUUAGUAAAAUAAUUUUACUAAUAAUGCCAGGUCGUUGUUGUAAAUAAGAAUUAGUUCUCAAUAACUCACAUUGUUAAGUAAAGAUUAAAUAAGAAAAAUAGUGGGUGGGGCAACAAAACUGGCCCAGGGCCCACAUCCUUUUAAAUCCGGCCCCGGCCACAAGCCACAAAACGUAAGGAAAAGGUGUUAUUGUAAAAACAAAGAGAAAAACUGAAACACUGUUUGGAAAAUAACCCUGAAUACAUAAUCCUCAUAGUGAAACAUGGUGGUGACGGCAUCAUGCUGUGGGGAUGCUUUCCUUCCACACAGUCAAAUUGAUUGAUUGGGAUUGUAGAAAGAUGGAUGGUGGGGCUAUUUUGCAAAGAAGAAUGAGAAUAAAUGUCAGUUUCUCUACUAGCUCUUUGUGCAGAGCUAGUAGAGAAAUGUCUGGCAGCUGUUUUGGCAGGAAAGGAGGAUUCUACAAUAUAUCGACUUGGAGAGGCUUAAAAUACACAGCAGACUUUUUAGAUUUUCAUUUGUUUUAAAAAAAUGACAACCGUGAAAUAUUUCCUUCCAUUUUAAAAUGUCACUCAACUUUUGUGGGUUUUUACCACAUGAAACCAAAUAAAAUACACCAACGUUUGUGGUUGAAAUGUGACAAAAUGUGACAAGUUACCAGGAUUUGAAUACUUUUGCAAGAGCAUGCAGACAGUCAUAAUGUUAUGGCUGAUCAGUGUUUAACAGGGCAAUAAAUUAAAGCACUUCUUGGCUCUCACUUGGAGCAUGUUUCGUUAUUAACUGAUCAACAGAUCUGCUAUGGUAUGAAUAACUCUCUCUUUCCCUGUUGGUCCCGUAACAAAUGGCAGGGCUCUCGGACACACAUUUGUGUCUCCAUCAGGGCUGUCGUACAAUCAGCUCCAAGAAUACAUAUUAAUCAAUGUCGUUUUUUUUUUGUUUUUUCCUGUUCUUGUCUGCUUAUUAAGCCCAGCCAUCAACCAACCCCCCCUGCUUCCAAUACGUUAGCGGAUAUCAGUAUGUCCACUACUCUUGUGAACAGGGAUGAGAAGGAGAAAAAGAGGGAGAGGAAAUAAAGGUCUGAGGAGUUUGGCAAAGAGACGAUGGAGGCUGAGACAGAUGGCAUGAAGUCUGCAGCACUCUGGCGUGGCUUGCCUGGUGCUAAAAUCCUCCUCUCUCACAUUCCAAUAAAUCCUACCAGGAGGCUGGGGAGUCUGUUACACCACUCCAAGGAUCCACACGGCUCUCCUCCCUACCUCCCUCCCCCAUACAUCAGUGCCCCCCCUCCUCAUCAGUGUCUGAGUCUCUGACCACUCCAGUAUCUGAUUUCUGCUAUUACUGAACCCACAGAACUGUCUGCAUUCACUUACAGAAAUGUAUAGAUGUGGAUCUACUGAUAAGAUCAGCAGCAGCAGAUGAAAAAAAUAGUCUUUAUGAUCGCUCUUAUUGAAAACUUUUGAGAGAUGGCCUUUAUUGUCAUUCCAGAGUACAAAUCGUAUUCUGGCCCAAAACAUGAGAGAAACACUGUACAAUCCAUUUACAUUAGAGGAAAAAGACAUAAGAAGCUUUUUGAUUAGUCUCACCAGAGCCUGCAAUCAGCCCAAAGUCUUGAGCAGACACAGUCUAACCAAAUAUCAGCCUAAACAUGCAGCUUGCAGUUCAAGGCUUCCUGUGGGUCUUUAAAUCCAAAGUGGACAAUAAGUGAGGCUGUGAUUACACACUUAGCCCAAAGCCCAAAACUUGAUCCCAGACUCCUCAGCAACUUCACAUCCGUAUUCUGAACUGCUGGAUCUCCUUUGAGUUUGCUCUCUUUUUUUCCGACUCAAAGUGGAUCAUCUCCUAAGAACAAUCUAAUUUAUUUUACGCUCUCUCUCUCUCUCUUCCUCUCUCUCUCUCCCUGUGUUUCUUUCUGGCUUCUGUUUGUUCUAAUGAAUGACUUCUGAGAUAAAGAGCUGCUGUGAUGGGGUCACAAAGGGCCUCAGAAUCACAUUACUGUUAAUGAUAAUAAAAAGAACAAUCUGCGCUGAACGUCUUGGAUGUUUCCCUUUUCUCCACCCGUAUGGACGGGACGUUUUAUCUGCUAUUGUUUUCAGUGUUGUUACACAUGAAAAGCGUAUGAAAUUAAAAUGCAUUCUAAAUAUU